AAGUGAAUAUUUCUGGUUAAUGUAGUUAUAAAUUAUUUUGAGUUUUAAUAAUUAAUUAUUAGGUGAAAUUUUAUUUUAUUUAUUUGCUCUUAAUUUUGAACCUAUGAAAUUUAUAAAAUAGACUAGGAUUAGAUACCCUAUUAUUUUAAAUGUAAAUUUUGUUUUACCUGGGUAUUAUUAGUUAAGGUCUUUAAACCCAAAGAAUUUGGCGGUAUUUCAUUCCAUUCAGAGGAACCUAUCUCAUGAUUGAUAGUACACGAUUUACUUUACUUAAUUUAUUUGUUUGUAUAUCUCCGUUAAUCAGAAAAUCUUUUUGGAGAAAAAAUUUUCUUGUUUUUUUAUUAAAAUUUAUUUCAGGUCAAGGUGCAGCUUAUAAUUAAGUGUAUGAUGGGUUACAAUAAUUUUUUUUUAUUAUGGAUUUAAUUUUGAAAUAUUUUAAUGAAGGUGGAUUUGAUAGUAAUUUAAAUUAUUUAAUUUAACUGAUAUUGGCUCUGAAGUGUG
This 501-nucleotide ribosomal RNA is filed under the name Locusta migratoria manilensis (Oriental migratory locust). RNAcentral describes it as "partial 12S ribosomal RNA". The record is from RNAcentral. Lineage: Eukaryota; Metazoa; Arthropoda; Insecta; Orthoptera; Acrididae.